UUAAGCGACUAAGCGUACACGGUGGAUGCCUAGGCAGUCAGAGGCGAUGAAGGGCGUGCUAAUCUGCGAAAAGCGUCGGUAAGGUGAUAUGAACCGUUAUAACCGACGAUACCCGAAUGGGGAAACCCAGUGCAAUUCGUUGCACUAUUGCAUGGUGAAUACAUAGCCAUGCAAGGCGAACCGGGGGAACUGAAACAUCUAAGUACCCCGAGGAAAAGAAAUCAACCGAGAUUCCCCCAGUAGCGGCGAGCGAACGGGGAGGAGCCCAGAACCUGAAUCAGCAUAUGUGUUAGUGGAAGCGUCUGGAAAGUCGCACGGUACAGGGUGAUAGUCCCGUACACAAAAAUGCAUAUGUUGUGAGUUCGAUGAGUAGGGCGGGACACGUGACAUCCUGUCUGAAUAUGGGGGGACCAUCCUCCAAGGCUAAAUACUCCUGACUGACCGAUAGUGAACCAGUACCGUGAGGGAAAGGCGAAAAGAACCCCGGCGAGGGGAGUGAAAUAGAACCUGAAACCGUGUACGUACAAGCAGUGGGAGCACCUUCGUGGUGUGACUGCGUACCUUUUGUAUAAUGGGUCAGCGACUUAUAUUUUGUAGCAAGGUUAACCGAAUAGGGGAGCCGUAGGGAAACCGAGUCUUAACUGGGCGAAUAGUUGCAAGGUAUAGACCCGAAACCCGGUGAUCUAGCCAUGGGCAGGUUGAAGGUUGGGUAACACUAACUGGAGGACCGAACCGACUAAUGUUGAAAAAUUAGCGGAUGACUUGUGGCUGGGGGUGAAAGGCCAAUCAAACCGGGAGAUAGCUGGUUCUCCCCGAAAGCUAUUUAGGUAGCGCCUCGUGAACUCAUCUUCGGGGGUAGAGCACUGUUUCGGCUAGGGGGUCAUCCCGACUUACCAAACCGAUGCAAACUCCGAAUACCGAAGAAUGUUAUCACGGGAGACACACGGCGGGUGCUAACGUCCGUCGUGAAGAGGGAAACAACCCAGACCGCCAGCUAAGGUCCCAAAGUCAUGGUUAAGUGGGAAACGAUGUGGGAAGGCAUAGACAGCCAGGAUGUUGGCUUAGAAGCAGCCAUCAUUUAAAGAAAGCGUAAUAGCUCACUGGUCGAGUCGGCCUGCGCGGAAGAUGUAACGGGGCUAAACCAUGCACCGAAGCUGCGGCAGCGACACUUAGGUGUUGUUGGGUAGGGGAGCGUUCUGUAAGCCGUUGAAGGUGACCUGUGAGGGUUGCUGGAGGUAUCAGAAGUGCGAAUGCUGACAUAAGUAACGAUAAUGCGGGUGAAAAACCCGCACGCCGGAAGACCAAGGGUUCCUGUCCAACGUUAAUCGGGGCAGGGUGAGUCGACCCCUAAGGCGAGGCUGAAAAGCGUAGUCGAUGGGAAACAGGUUAAUAUUCCUGUACUUGGUGUUACUGCGAAGGGGGGACGGAGAAGGCUAGGCUAGCCGGGCGACGGUUGUCCCGGUUUAAGCAUGUAGGCGGAGUGACUUGGUAAAUCCGGUUGCUUAUCAACGCUGAGGUGUGAUGACGAGUCACUACGGUGAUGAAGUAGUUGAUGCCAAGCUUCCAGGAAAAGCCUCUAAGCAUCAGGUAACAUUAAAUCGUACCCCAAACCGACACAGGUGGUCAGGUAGAGAAUACUCAGGCGCUUGAGAGAACUCGGGUGAAGGAACUAGGCAAAAUGGUGCCGUAACUUCGGGAGAAGGCACGCUGGCAUUAGGUAAAGGGACUUGCUCCCGGAGCUGAAGCCAGUCGCAGAUACCAGCUGGCUGCAACUGUUUAAUAAAAACACAGCACUGUGCAAACACGAAAGUGGACGUAUACGGUGUGACGCCUGCCCGGUGCUGGAAGGUUAAUUGAUGGGGUCAGCCGCAAGGCGAAGCUCUUGAUCGAAGCCCCAGUAAACGGCGGCCGUAACUAUAACGGUCCUAAGGUAGCGAAAUUCCUUGUCGGGUAAGUUCCGACCUGCACGAAUGGCGUAAUGAUGGCCAGGCUGUCUCCACCCGAGACUCAGUGAAAUUGAACUCGCUGUGAAGAUGCAGUGUACCCGCGGCAAGACGGAAAGACCCCGUGAACCUUUACUAUAGCUUGACACUGAACAUUGAGCCUUGAUGUGUAGGAUAGGUGGGAGGCAUUGAAGUGUGGACGCCAGUCUGCAUGGAGCCAACCUUGAAAUACCACCCUUUAAUGUUUGAUGUUCUAACUCGGCCCCAUAAUCUGGGGUGAGGACAGUGUCUGGUGGGUAGUUUGACUGGGGCGGUCUCCUCCCAAAGAGUAACGGAGGAGCACGAAGGUUAGCUAAUCACGGUCGGACAUCGUGAGGUUAGUGCAAAGGCAUAAGCUAGCUUGACUGCGAGAGUGACGGCUCGAGCAGGUACGAAAGUAGGUCUUAGUGAUCCGGUGGUUCUGAAUGGAAGGGCCAUCGCUCAACGGAUAAAAGGUACUCCGGGGAUAACAGGCUGAUACCGCCCAAGAGUUCAUAUCGACGGCGGUGUUUGGCACCUCGAUGUCGGCUCAUCACAUCCUGGGGCUGAAGUAGGUCCCAAGGGUAUGGCUGUUCGCCAUUUAAAGUGGUACGCGAGCUGGGUUUAGAACGUCGUGAGACAGUUCGGUCCCUAUCUGCCGUGGGCGUUGGAAGAUUGAGAGGGGCUGCUCCUAGUACGAGAGGACCGGAGUGGACGAAUCACUGGUGUUCGGGUUGUCAUGCCAAUGGCAUUGCCCGGUAGCUAAAUUCGGAAGAGAUAACCGCUGAAAGCAUCUAAGCGGGAAACUUGCCUCGAGAUGAGUCUUCCCUGGGGCUUUAAGCCCCCUGAAGGAACGUUAAAGACUAUGACGUUGAUAGGCUGGGUGUGUAAGUGCAGCGAUGCAUUGAGCUAACCAGUACUAAUGAUCCGUGAGGCUUAACCUU
This 2905-nucleotide ribosomal RNA is filed under the name Yersinia enterocolitica. Its description in RNAcentral is "bacterial LSU rRNA". It matches the Rfam family "Bacterial large subunit ribosomal RNA". The record is from RNAcentral. Lineage: Bacteria; Pseudomonadati; Pseudomonadota; Gammaproteobacteria; Enterobacterales; Yersiniaceae.